RNAcentral lists this ribosomal RNA (465 nucleotides) under uncultured Klebsiella sp. Its description in RNAcentral is "bacterial SSU rRNA". It matches the Rfam family "Bacterial small subunit ribosomal RNA", at positions 338 to 795 of the family's 1533-position model. Lineage: Bacteria; Pseudomonadati; Pseudomonadota; Gammaproteobacteria; Enterobacterales; Enterobacteriaceae. The record is from RNAcentral.
CCUACGGGUGGCUGCAGUGGGGAAUAUUGCACAAUGGGCGCAAGCCUGAUGCAGCCAUGCCGCGUGUGUGAAGAAGGCCUUCGGGUUGUAAAGCACUUUCAGCGGGGAGGAAGGCGGUGAGGUUAAUAACCUCAUCGAUUGACGUUACCCGCAGAAGAAGCACCGGCUAACUCCGUGCCAGCAGCCGCGGUAAUACGGAGGGUGCAAGCGUUAAUCGGAAUUACUGGGCGUAAAGCGCACGCAGGCGGUCUGUCAAGUCGGAUGUGAAAUCCCCGGGCUCAACCUGGGAACUGCGUUCGAAACUGGCAGGCUAGAGUCUUGGAGAGGGGGGUAGAAUUCCAGGUGUAGCGGUGAAAUGCGUAGAGAUCUGGAGGAAUACCGGUGGCGAAGGCGGCCCCCUGGACAAAGACUGACGCUCAGGUGCGAAAGCGUGGGGAGCAAACAGGAUUAGAUACCCUAGUAGUC